GCCUACGGGGGGCAGCAGUCGAGGAUCUUCGGCAAUGGGCGCAAGCCUGACCGAGCGACGCCGCGUGGAGGAUGAAGGCCUUCGGGUUGUAAACUCCUGUCGAGGGGGAUCAAGGGGCAACCUUGAGUGAUCCCUGGAGGAAGCACGGGCUAAGUUCGUGCCAGCAGCCGCGGUAAGACGAACCGGGCGAACGUUUUUCGGAAGCACUGGGCAUAAAGGGCGCGUAGGCGGCUUAUCAAGUCAUGGGUGAAAUCCGUGAGCUCAACUGUCGAAGUGCCUUUGAUACUGAUGAGCUCGAGGGAGGUAGGGGUCUGUGGAACUUCCGGUGGAGCGGUGAAAUGCGUUGAUAUCGGAAGGAACGCCGGUGGCGAAAGCGACGGACUGGACCUCUUCUGACGCUGAGGCGCGAAAGCUCGGGGAGCAAACGGGAUUAGAUACCCGUGUAGUC
Molecule: ribosomal RNA, 448 nt
Filed under: uncultured Gemmataceae bacterium
Lineage: Bacteria; Pseudomonadati; Planctomycetota; Planctomycetia; Gemmatales; Gemmataceae
Description: bacterial SSU rRNA
Rfam family: Bacterial small subunit ribosomal RNA
Source: RNAcentral